AAUAAGGUGCCUGACUAAAGGGUUAUUUUGAUAGAAUAAAUUAUGUAAUUUAAUUACCCUUAUUG
This 65-nucleotide transfer RNA is filed under the name Nectoporus subrotundus. RNAcentral's name for it is "tRNA-Ile". Lineage: Eukaryota; Metazoa; Arthropoda; Insecta; Coleoptera; Dytiscidae. The record is from RNAcentral.